This 438-nucleotide ribosomal RNA is filed under the name uncultured bacterium. Its description in RNAcentral is "partial 16S ribosomal RNA". It matches the Rfam family "Bacterial small subunit ribosomal RNA", at positions 29 to 507 of the family's 1533-position model. The record is from RNAcentral.
AGCGAACGCUGGCGGCAGGCCUAACACAUGCAAGUCGAACGAACUCUUCGGAGUUAGUGGCGGACGGGUGAGUAACACGUGGGAACGUGCCUUUAGGUUCGGAAUAACUCAGGGAAACUUGUGCUAAUACCGAAUGUGCCCUUCGGGGGAAAGAUUUAUCGCUUUUAGAUUGGCGCGCGUCUGAUUAGCUUGUUGGGGAGGUAAAGGCUAACCAAGGCGACGAUCGGUAGCUGGUCUGGGAGGAUGAUCAGCCACAUUGGGAUUGAGAUACGGCCCAAACCCCAACGCCAGGCGGAGGUGGGGAAGGGGAAACUAGGGAAGGGGGCCAAAGGCAGCAACGCCCCGGCCGGGAUAACGGCGAUGGGGUUGGAAUUCGAAAUUGCUUUCGACGGGGCGGGAAUGACGGUAACCGGUAAAGAAGCCCCGGCUAACUACGUG